This 590-nucleotide long non-coding RNA is filed under the name Dasypus novemcinctus (nine-banded armadillo). Its description in RNAcentral is "lncRNA (ENSDNOG00000050685.1)". Lineage: Eukaryota; Metazoa; Chordata; Mammalia; Cingulata; Dasypodidae. The record is from RNAcentral.
UAUAUCUUUCCAUGUCAUACCCUUUAGAUUAAGCGAAGAUAUUAGCAAGAGAAGUGUUGUAAACCUUUAUCCCAUGGAAUCAGCAGAAGCCUUAGAAUUACAAGAUUCUACACUGAAGUAAGUUUACCUUUUAAUGACAAAAACAGACUCCUCCUUUUUACAUUGAAGCAUUUGUGCUUUAAAUUCCCCUGCUAUCUUUUUUCAUCCCUUGUUCCUACAGUGGUCAGAUUCAGCUGGAGACAUCGCCAGGGUGUGAGGUGCAAAACGAUGUCACAUUGCAGAGUAACGGCAGUCAGUAUUCUCCAAAUGAGGUGAGUUUCCUGAAGGUUAAUGGAACUGGAGGCCUUUCAUAAAGCCUGAAUUGGAGCAUCUUUUACAGCAGGCGUUCUUAACCAGGGGUCUGUGAGCUUGAAGUGAAAUUCAAAAAUACAUUAUUCUUGUGGGGACAUGGUGGAGUGGGCAUGAAAUAUUUAUUAAAUAAUACACAAUACAGUAUGGACUUUUUAAGGGGUCCAUGGUUUUCACCUGAUUGGCAGAGCGGUCUGGAACAAAAACGGUUAAGAACCCCUGAGUUACAGAAAGAGAUCAUC